Long non-coding RNA from Oncorhynchus nerka (sockeye salmon), 3750 nucleotides. RefSeq lists it as uncharacterized. The transcript is spliced from 3 exons. The record is from RefSeq and is a predicted model, not a curated record. Lineage: Eukaryota; Metazoa; Chordata; Actinopteri; Salmoniformes; Salmonidae.
UCGUGCGCUGUACACACAGUAAUGGAGCAAGGGAGGAAGAUUUAUAUAUCUAUCGUUCUUUAUCCAGACCAGUGACAUUGGGAAAAUAAUCUAUUUUUUUCACAGGAGCCCUGGCCAAGAAGAGGUGGCAUGAUGUCGUCAGACAGGGAUAAAGGGACAGUGUACGACAACUUCCAGCUCAGGAACCAAUGGGAGAACAGAGCUAAGCAGUUCAGUCAGAAGGGACAACUGGAAAAGGAGAGACAAGGAAAGAGUGCCUUGAAUGGGCUUUAUAAAAAGUGGCAGUCUCGCCUGGCGAACACAAAUGGAACUCCUACGGCAGCGGAGAAGAAAGGAAAGGGCAGCAACAUAUCUGACUUCAGAAAGGUUGCGGUGAUCCCAGACAUUGAUGCUGACAUCGAAAGAGCCAUGUUUAAGGUGGUACCACCACCAAAGAUUCCCAAACCUGCUCCAUCCCCACCACCCAAAAAGAAACCACCCAAGAGGGCAAAGCCCCAAGUUCUCAAACCAGCCGGAGGCUGGGAUGAGUCAUGGAAGAGCCUGAAGCCCCCAGAGCAGGAAGUCCAACCUGAGGAAAAAUGGUGGAGGGAUUUUAAGCCAGAUAGAUACCUACCUCUCAGCGAAUGGGCAAGGCCCUUCAAAUGUCGACCACUGUUAUUCAGUUUCAUCCUUCACCAGCAAACAGAGUGGUGGCAGCGAGGAUGGCCAGUGUUAAGCUGGGAACAAAGCAACAAACUAUUGAAAGCUAAGCCUUUGGAUGUCGAAGUAAACCUUCUAGGGUGGGAGGAUGCUUGGAAGACAUCCAAAUCUUUAUCCAAGCAACACAUUGAGAACCAGAUGAUUACAGAAACAGUACAGCUCAAAGCCUUCUUCCCAGGCUGGACAGAAUCUUGGAAGGUCGCAGGUGAAAAUGUCCAAAACAGUGGCCGAUAUCUGAGGGAUUGGCACGAGUCCUGGAGUUUGUGCCAAGAACACCACUGGUACAAGGCCCCCAUAGACUCCCAGUUGAUGUCAAAACAUGUGUUGUCCGAUGAGUUGUUGAUCUCUCAGCUUGAUGAGGAUAUCCCAUCUUCAUCAGAUUGGAUAGAGUCCUGGAAAUCUGUGAAAUCUCAGCCCCAGUACCAAGAGUCCGAGUCAGAGCCCAAAGGGACUGAAUUAAAGGUAGAAAUGUCCCAUGUGCCACUGCAUUUCCAGUUCCACAAGCUUAACACACCUUUCUCAAACUGGCACGAGUCUUGGAAAGUGUCAACUGCAAACAAUGAAGCAAUUGAAGAUGGAUGGAAAGGUUCCUGGAAGAUAUGUAGUCAGCAUCAAAAUGACACAAAUGCCCAAAGAGAUGUUGUGUUUUUCUCAAAUAAGUACAAGACCCAAAGGUUCCGGGGUGUUGACAGCAUGCCUCAGAGUGAAUGGUCUAAAUCCUGGAAGACCUCCAUGCCUCCCCAACAUACUUUUUUGCCAGGUUGGAAAGAAUCUUGGAAACAAAACAGCAAUCCAUAUUGGAAGGAUUGGCAUGAGUCCUGGAGUUUGUGCCAAGAACACCACUGUUGCAAGUCCUUUAUGGACUUCCAGUAUUGCCAUCAUGCUAUGAUAAUGUCAAAAUGCUUGCUGACCAAUGAGCUGUUGAGCUCCCAGCUUGAUGAGGAAAUCCCAUCUUCAUACGAGUGGAUUGUGUCCUGGAAAUCUGUGAAACCUUAUCCUCAGUCCCAGUCAGAUUCAGAAGAAACGGAAUCAGAGUUGGAAAUGUCCCAUGUCCCACUGCAUCUUCAGUUCUACAAGCUUAACACACCUUUCUCAAACUGGCAUGAGUCUUGGAAAGUGUCAACUGCGCAAGCUGUAGCAGGUAAAGAUGAACAACAUCCUUCAACAGAAUGGGCGGAUUCCUGGAAGAUAUCUUGGACGAACCUAAAUAGAAAUGACUUAAAACCCCAAAGGGAUGUUGUAUUUUUCUCAAGGCAUAAGACUGAAUGUUUUUUUAGUGUUGACUGUAUGGUCCAGAAUGAAUGGUCUGAAUGCUGGAAGACCAUCAAGCCGACCCAAUACACUACGACACAGGAGGAGGAGGAGGAGGAAAAAGAUAGCCAUUCUGCUUCCUCUAAACAUUUGUCACAUCUAAUAGAGAUUCCUUUGAAUGAUUGGGCAGAAUCAUGGAGGUUCAAGCCAGAGGAUGAGAGCCCCACCUCACCCAAGAAGGCACAGCCCCUAGCCCCAAAACCAGAGGAGGAGAUGCUGAAAGCCAGCACACCAUCACAUCCUCAGCCUUACAAAUACAAUCUUAACCAGGCAAUCUGGGGUGAUUCCUGGAAAAUCCUGAAGCCCCCACAGAAGGACGUCCCAUCUGGAAAAAAAUGGUGGAGGGCGUUUAAGCAGGACAGAAACCUACCUUUCAAUGAAUGGGCAAAGCCCUUCAAGUGUCGACCACUGCUAUUCAGUCGCUUACUGCACACACAAACAACAUCCUGGCAGCAGGGAUGGCCAGCGUUCAGCCGGGAACAAAGCAACAAACUACUGAAUGCUAAGCGUUUGGAUAACAAAGUAAACCUUCCGGAGUGGGAGGAUGCAUGGAAGACACUCAAGCCUUUACACAAGCAGCAUACUGAGAACAAGAUGGUUACAGAAAGAGUACAGCCCGAUGGCUUCUUGCCAGGUUGGACAGAAUCUUGGAAGGUCGCAGGUAACAAUGUUCAAAACAACAAUCCCUAUCUGAAGGAUUGGCAGGAGUCCUGGAGUUCUUGUCAUGAACAUCACUCAUACAGGGCCUCUAUAGACUCCCAGAAUCGUCAGUAUCUCCGUGUAUCACUAAAACACAAGCUGUUCAAGGAUCUGUUGAUCUCCCAGCUUGAUGAAAACAUUACGUCCUCACCAGAAGGGGUAGAGUCCUGGAAAUCUUUGAAAAAUCAACCUCAGUCCCAGGCAGAGGCCGAAGAAAUUGAAUCACAGAUAGAUAUGCCUGAUGUGCCACUGCAUCUCCAGUUCCACAAGAUUAACACACCUUUCUCAGACUGGCAACAGUCUUGGAAAGUGUCAACUGCAGAAAGUGAAGGCGAAAAACAACAGAGAGAAUGGAAUGGUUCCUGGAAGAUAUAUUGUCCAUAUCUGUCAAAAAACAACACAAAAGCCCAAAAUGAUUUUGUGUUUUUGUCCAAUAAGCAUAAGACUUACAAGUGCCUGGGUGUCGAUCAUGCUGAAAACAGCAUGCCUCAGAAUGAAUGGUCUGAAUCUUGGAAGACAAAGCAGCACCAGCAGCAGUUGGAGGACUGGGCAGAGUCUUGGAGGUUAUCUGUCGCCCCAGAAUCCAACAACUCAGUAUCACUGGACCGGUGGAAACAAUCAUGGAGACUCUCAAAACCAAAUCACCCACAUCAGCUUAACCAGGGCACAGAGCGUCUCAUACACAACAGCCCCAAACACCACAUGCAACUCCACGAGGUUGAACUGCCCCAGGCAGAAUGGAGCAACUCCUGGCAGUACCUCAAGUCAGACACUCUGGAUCCUAACACGAAAAAGGAAACAUACAUACAGUAGAACAUUAUAACAUGUACGUCAAAUGAUCAGAUAUGUAUUUGAUCCUAUACUAUUUUUACUUCAUGUCAAUAUACAUACUUGUUAAAUGUCUUAUUACUGGACACAUUGGAGUGAGACUAGCAUAAUUCUCUGCUGCAGGGAGGAGGUUGGGGUGGAUGAAGUGUAUAACACGUGGUUUGCAUUGCUCUUGGAAACUUUAAAUCUAAACUAAACUAAUUACUUAUAUUC